This 425-nucleotide ribosomal RNA is filed under the name uncultured bacterium. RNAcentral describes it as "partial 16S ribosomal RNA". It matches the Rfam family "Bacterial small subunit ribosomal RNA", at positions 354 to 796 of the family's 1533-position model. The record is from RNAcentral.
GUGGGGAAUAUUGGACAAUGGGCGCAAGCCUGAUCCAGCCAUGCCGCGUGAGUGAUGAAGGCCUUAGGGUUGUAAAGCUCUUUUGUCAGGGAAGAUAAUGACUGUACCGGAAGAAUAAGCCCCGGCUAACUUCGUGCCAGCAGCCGCGGUAAUACGAAGGGGGCUAGCGUUGUUCGGAAUCACUGGGCGUAAAGCGCACGUAGGCGGACCAUUAAGUCAGGGGUGAAAGCCUGGAGCUCAACUCCAGAACUGCCUUUGAUACUGAUGGUCUCGAGUAUGGAAGAGGUUGGUGGAACUGCGAGUGUAGAGGUGAAAUUCGUAGAUAUUCGCAAGAACACCGGUGGCGAAGGCGGCCAACUGGUCCAUUACUGACGCUGAGGUGCGAAAGCGUGGGGAGCAAACAGGAUUAGAAACCCUUGUAGUCC